Molecule: ribosomal RNA, 348 nt
Filed under: uncultured bacterium
Lineage: Bacteria
Description: bacterial SSU rRNA
Rfam family: Bacterial small subunit ribosomal RNA
Source: RNAcentral
AGGCCCUUUCGGGGGUGCUCGAGUGGCGAACGGGUGAGUAACACGUGGGUGAUCUGCCCUGCACUUUGGGAUAAGCCUGGGAAACUGGGUCUAAUACCGGAUAGGACUACGAAUCGCAUGGUUUGUGGUGGAAAGCUUUUGCGGUGUGGGAUGGGCCCGCGGCCUAUCAGCUUGUUGGUGGGGUGAUGGCCUACCAAGGCGACGACGGGUAGCCGGCCUGAGAGGGUGUCCGGCCACACUGGGACUGAGAUACGGCCCAGACUCCUACGGGAGGCAGCAGUGGGGAAUAUUGCACAAUGGGCGCAAGCCUGAUGCAGCGACGCCGCGUGAGGGAUGACGGCCUUCGGG